GAUGAAGAACGCAGUAAAAUGCGAUAAGUAAUGUGAAUUGCAGAAUUCAGUGAAUCAUCGAAUCUUUGAACGCACCUUGCGCUCCUUGGUAUUCCGAGGAGCAUGCCUGUUUGAGUGUCAUUAAAUUCUCAACCAUUAUCAACUUUUGCUGAUAAUGGCUUGGAUGUGGGGGUCUAUUUUGCUGGCUUCUCAGAUAGUCAGCUCCCCUUAAAUGCAUUAGCCGGUGCCCCGCGUGGACUGUCUAUUGGUGUGAUAAUUAUCUACGCUAUAGACAUCUGCAAUCAUAUGGGUUUGCGCUGCUUCUAACAGUCUGUUGAUUCAGACAAUACAUGACAAUUUGACCUCAAAUCAGGUAGGACUACCCGCUGAACUUAAGCAUAUCAAUAAGCGGAGGA
RNAcentral lists this unclassified non-coding RNA (395 nucleotides) under soil metagenome. RNAcentral's name for it is "partial contains 5.8S ribosomal RNA, internal transcribed spacer 2, and large subunit ribosomal RNA". The stretch from base 1 to 120 matches the Rfam family "5.8S ribosomal RNA", at positions 35 to 154 of the family's 154-position model. The record is from RNAcentral.